Long non-coding RNA from Zea mays, 782 nucleotides. RefSeq lists it as uncharacterized. The record is from RefSeq and is a predicted model, not a curated record. NCBI's taxonomy places the organism in Eukaryota, Viridiplantae, Streptophyta, Magnoliopsida, Poales, Poaceae. The transcript is spliced from 2 exons.
CAGCAUUUCCUUAUCUUCCUCUAGACUUAUCCCCAUCGUUUCUAGCUUCUAGUUUAUCCGUUGUCGGCAUUAUCUUUUCAAGAGCUGGACGCACGUCUCCAUGUUGCCUGUCGGCCUUAUCUCCAUCCCUCAUCACCUCUGCGAGCACAAGUUUUAGCGCCUGCCCUCAGUCCAGCUCGCCAGCAGCUCUCUGCCCUCCUCCCUCAAGCCCUAGCUGAGUUUUUCCAUGGUGCUCUGGAUGCCAGCCCCUUUACUCGAUGCCCCUGCUAGGUUCCAUGGUCGUCGCUGCCCCAGCCAUCUCCUUGGUGACCGACCUCGCCCCUGCCCCAGCCACAGCUUCCCCUUCGGCCCUAUUGCUGCAAGCACUCAGCCUCUCCUAUGGCACAUGGUGCUCAUCCAGCCCCUUUCUACUGGUGUUUGCACCAUCUCUCUGGUGCUCGACGAAAUGACCAUGAGGAGUUUUGUGUUGUGUGUAGCCCCACCUGCGACACCGUCGACCCCCGGUGAGGUUCUGUUCUCGCCCUGUCGCUUUAGCGCUCGACGUCGAUUACUAAUGUGUGAAUUGUGUGUGUUGACGAGGGAGUUAACCGGUAAAGAAGUGAGGUCCGUGCGACGUUUGCCAAGUGUUCGAUGGAAGGUCCGAACCGGGAACCUCGCCUUUCUCGCGGAUCUUCGGGUCGGUUUGUGAAUUGGUACGCUAGAUGAUUAUGCGAGCUGAAGGACAUGGAUCAGAGCGAACCAUAAGAUGGUAUUGGUGGAUUAAUCUUGUGGAUGCAUCAAGC